RNAcentral lists this long non-coding RNA (255 nucleotides) under Chrysemys picta bellii (western painted turtle). Its description in RNAcentral is "lncRNA (ENSCPBG00000007095.1)". The record is from RNAcentral. Lineage: Eukaryota; Metazoa; Chordata; Testudines; Emydidae.
AUGCAGAUGCAGCCUGCAAACCACCUCCCAGGGACAGGUAUUGAAAUUUUGCUAUUAAAUUGACUCUUGUCAUUUGGAGAGGAGAAAAUCAAUGGAUUGUACAUCAAGAUGGUGAUUCAUUAAAGAAGGACCUUUCAAAGAUAGUUGCUGGCUAUAUGUCUGAUGAAGCUAUUGGGUCAGUGACGUGGCUAGUGAUACAACAUCCUCUAAUAGCUCCUUGAGAGUCAGUAUCACUGUCUGUAAGGUGAGUGUUGC